AUACUUUGGUUACGUUUAUCACAAGUUUUAUACUUAGCAAAAAUAAUGGAAGAUGAUUAUUCUAUAGAAACACUUUUGGCUAAAGCCACCAAUCCUUUGAACUCUCAACCUAAUGAGGAAUCUGUAAAAGAAUUUUGUGACCAAGUUAACAAGGAGGAAGAUGGACAUCAGACAGCAUUGCGGUUUCUUGUUCACAAAAUACAGUCGCCCCAGGAAAGAGAAGCUCUGCUUUCACUUACGGUAGAAUGUGGUAGA
Limulus polyphemus (Atlantic horseshoe crab) is the source of this 255-nucleotide long non-coding RNA. RefSeq lists it as uncharacterized. The record is from RefSeq and is a predicted model, not a curated record. Lineage: Eukaryota; Metazoa; Arthropoda; Merostomata; Xiphosura; Limulidae. The transcript has 3 exons.